AUUUUAUGAGUAUCUCAGUACAUUUGUCUUCCAAACAAAAAGAUAGGUUAAACCUAAUAAAAUAAA
RNAcentral lists this transfer RNA (66 nucleotides) under Branchipolynoe segonzaci. RNAcentral's name for it is "Branchinotogluma segonzaci tRNA-Gly". Lineage: Eukaryota; Metazoa; Annelida; Polychaeta; Phyllodocida; Polynoidae. The record is from RNAcentral.